GGAGGGUGCAAACGUUGUUCGGAAUUACUGGGCGUAAAGCGCAUGUAGGCGGAUACGUAGGUCAGAUGUGAAAGCCCUUGGCUCAACCAAGGAAGUGCAUCUGAAACCACAUAUCUUGAGUAUGACAGAGGGAAGUGGAAUUCCCAGUGUAGAGGUGAAAUUCAUAGAUAUUGGGAAGAACACCGGUGGCGAAGGCGGCUUUCUGGGUCAUUACUGACGCUGAGAUGCGAAAGCGUGGGGGGAGCAAACAGGAUUAGAUACCCUGGUAGUCCACGCCCGUAAACGAUGUGCACUAGGUGUUGGGAGUAAUUAAACUCACAGUGCCGAAGCUAACGCAUUAAGUGCACCGCCUGGGGAUUACGGUCGCAAGACUA
Molecule: ribosomal RNA, 374 nt
Filed under: uncultured organism
Description: partial 16S ribosomal RNA
Rfam family: Bacterial small subunit ribosomal RNA
Source: RNAcentral